CCUACGGGAGGCAGCAGUAGGGAAUAUUGCUCAAUGGGGGAAACCCUGAAGCAGCAACGCCGCGUGGAGGAUGAAGGUUUUCGGAUUGUAAACUCCUUUUGUUAGAGAAGAUAAUGACGGUAUCUAACGAAUAAGCACCGGCUAACUCCGUGCCAGCAGCCGCGGUAAUACGGAGGGUGCAAGCGUUACUCGGAGUCACUGGGCGUAAGGAGCGCGUAGGCGGGAUAGCAAGUCAGAUGUGAAAUCCUAUGGCUUAACCAUAGAACUGCAUUUGAAACUGUUAUUCUAGAGUAUGGGAGAGGUAGGUGGAAUUCUUGGUGUAGGGGUAAAAUCCGUAGAGAUCAAGAGGAAUACUCAUUGCGAAGGCGACCUGCUAGAACAUAACUGACGCUGAUGCGCGAAAGCGUGGGGAGCAAACAGGAUUAGAUACCCCAGUAGUC
This 440-nucleotide ribosomal RNA is filed under the name uncultured bacterium. Its description in RNAcentral is "partial 16S ribosomal RNA". It matches the Rfam family "Bacterial small subunit ribosomal RNA", at positions 338 to 795 of the family's 1533-position model. The record is from RNAcentral.